UCCCAGUGGUGCCAGAUUCAGAACUGG
RNAcentral lists this non-coding RNA (27 nucleotides) under Homo sapiens (human). The record is from RNAcentral. Lineage: Eukaryota; Metazoa; Chordata; Mammalia; Primates; Hominidae.